Molecule: ribosomal RNA, 504 nt
Filed under: uncultured bacterium
Lineage: Bacteria
Description: partial 16S ribosomal RNA
Rfam family: Bacterial small subunit ribosomal RNA
Source: RNAcentral
AUUGAACGCUGGCGGCAGGCCUAACACAUGCAAGUCGAGCGGUAACACAGGGAGCUUGCUCCUGGGUGACGAGCGGCGGACGGGUGAGUAAUGUCUGGGAAACUGCCUGAUGGAGGGGGAUAACUACUGGAAACGGUAGCUAAUACCGCAUAACGUCGCAAGACCAAAGAGGGGGACCUUCGGGUCUCUUGCCAUCAGAUGUGCCCAGAUGGGAUUAGCUAGUAGGUGGGGUAACGGCUUACCUAGGCGACGAUCCCUAGCUGGUCUGAGAGGAUGACCAGCCACACUGGAACUGAGACACGGUCCAGACUCCUACGGGAGGCAGCAGUGGGGAAUAUUGCACAAUGGGCGCAAGCCUGAUGCAGCCAUGCCGCGUGUAUGAAGAAGGCCUUCGGGUUGUAAAGUACUUUCAGCGGGGAGGAAGGCGCUGAGGUUAAUAACCUCAGCGAUUGACGUUACCCGCAGAAGAAGCACCGGCUAACUCCGUGCCAGCAGCCGCGGUAA